AAGCUGAAGGAGCUGCAGGCUAUCCGCUGAGCGCCUGGGCUGCUCCCUCCCGCAGCUGGCAAUAGGUCCUUCCCAAACUGUCAUCUUCCAUUGUCCAUGAGAUCGACAGCAUUCUGGGCAACAAACCCUACAGCAAAAGGACUACAGAUCCUAAGUUGUCCCGCUGCCCACCAGGACAGUUUCCGGCCCCUCCUCAUCUGUUCGCUGCUUAUGCUGUUUCCACACCAAGUGCAGAGUGGGUUUGCAUCUGAGAGAACCCGCCGUGCCCAAACACCACCGGACACGACCUGCCGGUUGCCUUCAGACACCACCCGCUGCUUUGCCGGACGCUGUCAGGUCUCCGGGGACAGCCGUAGCCUGCGCAGCUCCUCCUCGGGGAAGAAACCCAGUUUGUACCCAGCCUUUCAUGGAGACUCCCAAAGCCAAGGUCAGGCCAAGACCUGGCUGGGUCCUCAGGUCAGGCAGGGUGGGCCUCUCCUCUGCCGAGAACCCCAGACCUGGGGAAGUGGUCUGGCACUUCCUGGGGGCCCCUCUGCCAGGGCCCCAGUGGGCAGGGUGGGGCCUCCCCUUGGAGUUUCUCCAGUCCCCCUCUUCCCAUGGGCUCCAGGCACAUUGCUGGGCCCUGACCCCAGGCACCUCCACCACUCUCUCCCACCCCGAUCCAGCCCUGUGCCCACUGGGCCUUGGCAGGGUCAUGGCUACCAGCUGGCCCUUGGGCCCACCUUAACCCUUGCUGGCAGGGGCAGGGACCCCAGGGGAUUGGGUGUGUGGUUGGGGACCCACAGAAAUUUGGGGAUCUGAUUUCUGGCUAAUCAUCCCGUUGUGUUCAACCCUGUACACAAUCAAAGAGCCCCUGCCAGGAGGCCAGGGCACUUGGGAAGGAGCCCUGGGGAGCAGGCCCCUCUGUCCUGACCCAGAAGGCCGAUGCCAAGCACUAUGACCUGGACCAUGGCUGCAGGCCACAUGGCGGGCAGGGGAGCAGGCCGGGCCCCGCGCACUUGACUGUGUUCCUCUAGGUUAGCAGGGUCCCUCCUCUAACACUCCCUGCCCGCGCCAGGGUGAUGGCUUGGGUUCUGAAGAGGCCAUGCUCAGCCCCUUUCAGGGAAGGUCUCUGGGGUUUCCAUGCUGCAGGUGCAGGGGCUGGGGGCUGCACCAAAGCAGCAACACACGCCAUGUAGGAAAAAGAACUCAGGGACCCGCGCCCAGGAGAGAUGGCCGGGCUGUUCAUUCCCUUCCACACCCGCUCACCUAGGAUGGUCAGAAGGGAGGGAGGGACACUCAGGCAGAGCGUCAGACCCUUAGCAGCAAGGGGCUGAAGAGAGGGUGACAGCCCAGUGGCCCACAGGUGUGAGGCCAUGUGCUGCCUGGCCACGGUCCUGUGUGGGACCCAGCCUUCUCUAUGUAGGACCAGGGCUGUGCAGAAGCCAUGCCCCUACCCUAGCUAUACCAGCUGGCCCCAGGGAGGACCCCGCUCCUCCACCCCAGUGGGUGUCAUCCACCCACACCCUCCGUGCAGGUGCAGGAACAUCUGUCCUGCCACGCCCUUUGGUGGAGCUGACAUUCCAGCAGGCUUCCCCCUGCCCCUGUCCAGGCUGGGUGGAGACCUGGGACCGUGGCUGGAAGAAACCCACUGAGACACAGGCAGAGGAGGUGGUCGUGGAAGAGGGAGCCAGGGCACCUGGCUUCCUCCGUCUCCCAGGGCGGCCGGCCGGCCCUGGAGUCCAGAACCCCCACACUGCCCCUGGACCAGACCCUGGGGCUCUUCUCCACCAAGCUCUGCCAUGAGCUUCAACCAGAAGCCACCCUGUCAGUGUCCAGAGGGGGCAGUGUCCCUCUAAG
RNAcentral lists this long non-coding RNA (1839 nucleotides) under Heterocephalus glaber (naked mole-rat). RNAcentral describes it as "lncRNA (ENSHGLG00100037747.1)". Lineage: Eukaryota; Metazoa; Chordata; Mammalia; Rodentia; Bathyergidae. The record is from RNAcentral.